UGGAGCGGCCGAUGUCAGAUUAGCUAGUUGGUGGGGUAAAGGCCUACCAAGGCAACGAUCUGUAGUUGGUCUGAGAGGACGACCAGCCACACUGGGACUGAGACACGGCCCAGACUCCUACGGGAGGCAGCAGUGGGGAAUUUUGGACAAUGGGGGCAACCCUGAUCCAGCCAUUCCGCGUGAGUGAAGAAGGCCUUCGGGUUGUAAAACUCUGUCUU
This 218-nucleotide ribosomal RNA is filed under the name uncultured bacterium. RNAcentral's name for it is "partial 16S ribosomal RNA". It matches the Rfam family "Bacterial small subunit ribosomal RNA", at positions 222 to 439 of the family's 1533-position model. The record is from RNAcentral.